Molecule: ribosomal RNA, 844 nt
Filed under: Azomonas sp. SS48
Lineage: Bacteria; Pseudomonadati; Pseudomonadota; Gammaproteobacteria; Pseudomonadales; Pseudomonadaceae
Description: bacterial SSU rRNA
Rfam family: Bacterial small subunit ribosomal RNA
Source: RNAcentral
GAGUAGCUAGUUGGUGAGGUAAUGGCUCACCAAGGCUACGAUCCGUAACUGGGCUGAGAGGAUGAUCAGUCACACUGGAACUGACCCAGGUUCAACUCUUCUACGGGAGGCAGCAGUGGGGAAUAUUGGACAAUGGGCGAAAGCCUGAUCCAGCCAUGCCGCGUGUGUGAAGAAGGUCUUCGGAUUGUAAAGCACUUUAAGUUGGGAGGAAGGGCAGUUACCUAAUACGUGACUGUCUUGACGUUACCGACAGAAUAAGCACCGGCUAACUCUGUGCCAGCAGCCGCGGUAAUACAGAGGGUGCAAGCGUUAAUCGGAAUUACUGGGCGUAAAGCGCGCGUAGGUGGUUUGUUAAGUUGAAUGUGAAAUCCCCGGGCUCAACCUGGGAACUGCAUCCAAAACUGGCAAGCUAGAGUAUGGUAGAGGGUAGUGGAAUUUCCUGUGUAGCGGUGAAAUGCGUAGAUAUAGGAAGGAACACCAGUGGCGAAGGCGACUACCUGGACUGAUACUGACACUGAGGUGCGAAAGCGUGGGGAGCAAACAGGAUUAGAUACCCUGGUAGUCCACGCCGUAAACGAUGUCAACUAGCCGUUGGGAGUCCUUGAACUCUUAGUGGCGCAGCUAACGCAUUAAGUUGACCGCCUGGGGAGUACGGCCGCAAGGUUAAAACUCAAUUGAAUUGACCGGGGGCCCGCACAGCCGUGGAAGCCAUGUGGCUUAAUUCGAAGCACGCCGAAGAACCUUUACCAGCCCUUGACAUCCCAAUGAAACUUUUCAAAGAAUAGAAUUGGUGCUUUCGGAACAUUGGAAACAGGUGCCUUGCCAUGCCUUGUUCGUCAAGCUU